CACGGGGGAGCGAGCGUUGUUCGGAAUUACUGGGUGUAAAGGGCUCGUAGGCGGGGAAGAAGGUCGAAUGUGAAAACUCAUGGCUUAACCAUGAGCCUGCAUCCGAAACCACUUCUCUUGAGUAUCGGAGAGGAUAGCGGAACUCCUGGUGUAGCGGUGAAAUGCGUAGAUAUCAGGAGGAACGCCGGUGGCGAAGGCGGCUAUCUGGCCGAAUACUGACGCUCAGGAGCGAAGGCCGGGGGAGCAAACAGG
This 252-nucleotide ribosomal RNA is filed under the name uncultured microorganism. RNAcentral describes it as "partial small subunit ribosomal RNA". It matches the Rfam family "Bacterial small subunit ribosomal RNA", at positions 524 to 776 of the family's 1533-position model. The record is from RNAcentral.